CCAGCAGUGCUCACUGUGGCAGCAGUAAACUUGGAAUGAUACAGAGAAGAUUAGCAAGGCCUCCUCACAAGGAUGACAUGCAGGUUUGUGAAGCGUUCCAUAUUUUU
Camelus dromedarius (Arabian camel) is the source of this 107-nucleotide small nuclear RNA. Lineage: Eukaryota; Metazoa; Chordata; Mammalia; Artiodactyla; Camelidae. The record is from Ensembl.